RNAcentral lists this long non-coding RNA (325 nucleotides) under Phoenix dactylifera (date palm). RNAcentral's name for it is "long non-coding RNA (PDAC_LNC008732)". The record is from RNAcentral. Lineage: Eukaryota; Viridiplantae; Streptophyta; Magnoliopsida; Arecales; Arecaceae.
AUAUGCUAGAGAAAAGUUUAAUUAAAUGUAAAAUUUAGGGUCAAUGUGAAAAAUUAUAAAAGCAAAGAAAAGUGUAGGAAAAUUAUAAUAAUUAGAGAAAGUGUAGGUAACUAUAAACAUUAGAAAAUAACAUAACAUAUCUAAUGCAUCAAGCUUUGAAACAAUUUAGUAACUUUAGUUUCAACCUGAUCUACCCAAGUUACAAGUCAUUACCCUAAACAACUCUAUAUAGAAUCAAUAAAGUGAAAUAACCUUCCAUGGAUUUUCUUCAUUUUAGGUUGACUUUUCUUACCAAACUUCUGAAGCUUGGAGAGAACUGAAACAA